GUGAAUACCAGCCUGUUCGAUGGACAUUUUCCUCACACUAGCCAGUUGUAAAGCCCUGGAGAAAAUCUGAGCUGCUUUCUGAAAAUUGUCUAUGUCCUGUCACUUCAAGUAAGGAGAUUCUGUUUCAAAGCCAUUACUGUGAGGAAGCCCAUACUAAUCCAUACAGAGAGGCUGCAUGGAGAGGCCACUUGGGAAGGAAUAGAGGCCUGCAGCUGAAGGUCAUGAUAAACUCCCAGAUGUUGAAAAAGACACACAUCACACAUGGAGAUCACAUCUUUGGAGCCAAGGCAAUUGGAGUCUGGUAAAACCAAGAAGCAAAAUGUCCAUGAAAAAUAAGAGAAUGAGAUUCAUUAACUUAGGUUGAUUUCCUUAAGAGAUUGUGACCUGGAGAUUUGCUGCAGGGAGUUUAUUGGGAAGAACACUCUGGAGCAACACCAUUAAAGGGACAUUUAAUACAUUGGUUUAUAAGACUCAAUGGGCAGAACGGCUUGCACCACAUCCUGAUCUCUUGCUCUGGCCUCUAUGUAAUCCUGGAAGUAAAUCAAGAAUCGAUUAAAACACCAGGAAUGAACCCUCUCAUCAUGUGUAGACACAGAGAGAUGGAAGUCAUCUGCAAGCAAAGGAAUGAAGACCCUCAAAACCAAACCUACCAACAUCAUGAACUUGGAUAUUUAGCCUUCAGAACUUUGAAAAGAUAGAGUUAUUUAAACAUCUUAGUGAGAAAUAUUUUUAUGGAAGUCUUAGCAAAUUAAUGGAGUCAGUUUUCUCAAGAGGCUUAUGUUUUAGAGAGUUUUAGCUUCAGGGAAAAAUUGAGCAAAAUAUAGAGAAGGAAUAUUUUCCACAGUGCCUCUACACAUGCGUAGCUUCCUACGUUAUUAACAAUCACCAACAGAAUGGUACAUUUGUUAUAAUUGUUGAAGUUUUGUGACACAUAAUUAUUAUCCAAAGUCCAUGUUAUACAGAGGGUUCAUAGUUGGUGUUGAAUAUUUCCUGGAUUAAAAAAAUGUGUAAUGUAUUUAUUUACCUUUAUAGUACUAUACAAAUAGUUUCACUGGUGAAAAGAAAAAUCUUCUAUGCUCUAUUAGUCCUUCUCCAUAACCCCUGAAACCACUGGUCUUUUUAUUAUCUCCACAUAUUUUUAUUUUUCAGAAUUUUUGAGCAGUUGAAGUCAAACUAUCUAAAAGGAUUUGAAUUUGGCUUUUGCCACAUAGUAAUGUAC
This 1219-nucleotide long non-coding RNA is filed under the name Heterocephalus glaber (naked mole-rat). RNAcentral's name for it is "lncRNA (ENSHGLG00000047805.1)". Lineage: Eukaryota; Metazoa; Chordata; Mammalia; Rodentia; Bathyergidae. The record is from RNAcentral.